AGUCCAGCCCAAGUUAAUCCAGAGAAUAAGGGAAGCCCAGAUAGUUGACCUUGCCCUGGUAGCCCGCAUGAAGGAUGCAGAACAGGGAGGGAGCUCAGAAUUCUGAAUCUCUGUUGAUGGAUUACUUCAUUUCCAAGAUAGAGUGUGUGUCCCAGAUGACAGUGAGUUAAAAAGAGACAUCAUGACGGAGUCCCAUAGCUCGAAGUUUGCCAU
RNAcentral lists this long non-coding RNA (213 nucleotides) under Carica papaya (papaya). RNAcentral describes it as "long non-coding RNA (CPAP_LNC012431)". Lineage: Eukaryota; Viridiplantae; Streptophyta; Magnoliopsida; Brassicales; Caricaceae. The record is from RNAcentral.